UCUAAUCCCAAAUUGAGAACAACCCAGCGGCACCUCUUCUUCUUCGCCAAAAAUCUCUUCUCUCCUGGCGAGUCGCCGUUUACUUGGCUCGCCGGAGAUUCACCGGCUUCAUUCCCUCCAUCUCCUCCGAUCCUUCUUCUUCUCUUUCGCUACACCAAAUUCCCAAGUCAAUUUCUUGGUUAGAGGGAACAGCAGCGGCGCUCCAAUCCUCUUCCUCGUGGCCUCUCCGGCGGAAACGCCGUCUCGAUGGAACCGUCGUUGGUGAGCGGCGCUGCUGCAUGCGCCGCCGUCUUCGUCUCCGGCCAAACAGCCGCCGCUGCCUGCUCCCUUUUUCCACCGCGUUAAGGCAGCAAACGCUCCUGCCCGCCAUCGCCGUCGAUCGGCCUCCGUCGGACGGUCCCAUCCCCUCCGCCGAGUCCUCCGUUGAGCAGCUUAUUCCCAUAAAGCUAAGUCCUCUUUCUUAGUUCAUUUUAAUUUGCCCUUUUGAAGGAUAGAAGUUUCAGAGGAUUCUACUUUAUUGUUGGGAGUGUAAUCGAAAACGGUGGAGGAACCCGUUCCUUGUGUUCAAGUAAAAUUCGAUAGCUAGCAUCCUAUGAUUUUUUUUCAAAUACGGCAGUAGCUAUGUUCAAAGCUCUAUGGUUCUAAGUUCUCGUGCUAGCUAUGAUUUCUUAUCAUGAUGCAGAGGUUGGUUUAGUGAGGAUUACCUCUAAAAUUGACCGCUGCCUUGAUUCCUGCUCCUUGAGCUCCAAAUCCCACACUCCUAACUCACUAUGUUGCUGAAUUAUUGAUGUGGUGUAAGGGAAGGUUGAGGGUGGUAAGGAGGGGUCUUUAUAGGUGAUUUGGUAACUGCAAAAUCUGCAACUCUUGAUCCUCUUGCAGGGACAUUUUUGUUGGUUGUGAGAGUGUACUCGUAUAUUCAGGUACUCAAGAAAGGGGCAGAGAUUGUUACUGCAGAUUGUCGCAGCUGGAAGGCAGACAUUGCAGGCUCAUUUGCCCCAUUGCAGCCUGCGGUUAAGGCUGGGAAAGGGCAGGGAUGGAAUAAGGACCCAUCAUGUCCGGCUGCUACCUUGAUGUUCUGAUCUCAACGGGCUGUCGAAGCUAGGCCGAAAUUCGGGCCUAAGGCAGAGCCCGAGACUUAGCAUUUCUACUUGUAAUAGAAAAGAGUCUUCCCUCUUGUUCUUUUUCAAGCUUUCUCUCAUUUCAAACAAAAAGUAUAGAAUUACUUCUCAAAUUUAGUGCGUAUCAUUCUUUUUCUAUUUUCAUCAUCAAGCAUCUUGUAAACUUAUACUUAGCUUGGAAAAUCAAAAUACUAUGUUUUGAUUACACAAGAACAUAAACAAAUGCUCUUUCAUUUUUUUUUUAUCAACAUCUGUAAAUUCAAGGCUUAGCUGGAUAUACUAACUGUUGUGUUCUGUAUGCUCAAAGCUCUGAACACUCUUUCUUUUCUCUUUAUAAAUUUCUAGUAUUUAUUUCAAAAUUCUCGAAAAUCUAGGUCUCGGAUAUUACA
Molecule: long non-coding RNA, 1507 nt
Organism: Salvia splendens (bonfire salvia)
Lineage: Eukaryota; Viridiplantae; Streptophyta; Magnoliopsida; Lamiales; Lamiaceae
Exons: 4
Source: RefSeq, a predicted model, not a curated record